Molecule: small nucleolar RNA, 86 nt
Filed under: Aotus nancymaae (Ma's night monkey)
Lineage: Eukaryota; Metazoa; Chordata; Mammalia; Primates; Aotidae
Description: Small nucleolar RNA SNORD60 (ENSANAG00000005206.1)
Rfam family: Small nucleolar RNA SNORD60
About the family: U60 belongs to the C/D class of snoRNA which contain the C (UGAUGA) and D (CUGA) box motifs. Most of the members of the box C/D family function in directing site-specific 2'-O-methylation of substrate RNAs.
Source: Rfam by way of RNAcentral
UGUCAAAAAUUCCCCAAUCCUGUUUCUGACGCCUCGUGUGAAAGCUGCGUGUGCAGUCUUACUGUUAUUUCGCGAGCCUGAGGCUU